RNAcentral lists this ribosomal RNA (432 nucleotides) under uncultured bacterium. RNAcentral's name for it is "partial 16S ribosomal RNA". It matches the Rfam family "Bacterial small subunit ribosomal RNA", at positions 29 to 507 of the family's 1533-position model. The record is from RNAcentral.
ACGAACGCUGGCGGCAUGCCUAACACAUGCACGUCGAACGAGACCUUCGGGUCUAGUGGCGCACGGGUGCGUAACGCGUGGGAACCUGCCCUUAGGUUCGGAAUAACUCCCCGAAAGGGGUGCUAAUACCGGAUAAUGUCUUCGGACCAAAGAUUUAUCGCCUUUGGAUGGGCCCGCGUUGGAUUAGCUAGUUGGUAGGGUAAAAGCCUACCAAGGCGACGAUCCAUAGCUGGUCUGAGAGGAUGAUCAGCCACACUGGGACUGAGACACGGCCCAGACUCCUACGGGAGGCAGCAGUGGGGAAUAUUGGACAAUGGGCGAAAGCCUGAUCCAGCAAUGCCGCGUGAGUGAUGAAGGCCUUAGGGUUGUAAAGCUCUUUUACCCGGGAUGAUAAUGACAGUACCGGGAGAAUAGGCUCCGGCUAACUCCGUG